UGAGAAGAGGGCUAUCGCCCAUGAGUGGAAUUACAAACCACCGCCUAUAUUCAGCCACCUUCCC
RNAcentral lists this transfer RNA (64 nucleotides) under Pseudotrapelus sinaitus (Sinai agama). RNAcentral describes it as "tRNA-Tyr". Lineage: Eukaryota; Metazoa; Chordata; Lepidosauria; Squamata; Agamidae. The record is from RNAcentral.